RNAcentral lists this ribosomal RNA (253 nucleotides) under uncultured bacterium. RNAcentral describes it as "partial 16S ribosomal RNA". It matches the Rfam family "Bacterial small subunit ribosomal RNA", at positions 524 to 776 of the family's 1533-position model. The record is from RNAcentral.
UACAGAGGGUGCGAGCGUUAAUCGGCAUUACUGGGCGUAAAGCGCACGUAGGCGGCUUUUUAAGUCAGGGGUGAAAUCCUGGAGCUCAACUCCAGAACUGCCUUUGAUACUGGGAAGCUUGAGUCCGGGAGAGGUGAGUGGAACUCCGAGUGUAGAGGUGAAAUUCGUAGAUAUUCGGAAGAACACCAGUGGCGAAGGCGGCUCACUGGCCCGGUACUGACGCUGAGGUGCGAAAGCGUGGGGAGCAAACAGG